RNAcentral lists this transfer RNA (112 nucleotides) under Aspergillus campestris IBT 28561. RNAcentral's name for it is "tRNA-Leu". It matches the Rfam family "tRNA". From Rfam's summary of the family: Transfer RNA (tRNA) molecules are approximately 80 nucleotides in length. Their secondary structure includes four short double-helical elements and three loops (D, anti-codon, and T loops). Further hydrogen bonds mediate the characteristic L-shaped molecular structure. tRNAs have two regions of fundamental functional importance: the anti-codon, which is responsible for specific mRNA codon recognition, and the 3' end, to which the tRNAs corresponding amino acid is attached (by aminoacyl-tRNA synthetases). tRNAs cope with the degeneracy of the genetic code in two manners: having more than one tRNA (with a specific anti-codon) for a particular amino acid; and 'wobble' base-pairing, i.e. permitting non-standard base-pairing at the 3rd anti-codon position. The record is from RNAcentral. Lineage: Eukaryota; Fungi; Ascomycota; Eurotiomycetes; Eurotiales; Aspergillaceae.
GGCAAGAUGGCCGAGCGGUCUAAGGCGCUAGGUUCAGGUUUACCUGACCAUCACAGUUCUCCGGAGCUUCCUAGUCACGCAAGUGGCGUGGGUUCGAAUCCCACUCUUGUCA